AUGGGCGCAGCCUGAUGCAGCCAUGCCGCGUGUGUGAAGAAGGCCUUCGGGUUGUAAAGCACUUUCAGUCGUGAGGAAGGUAGUGUAUUUAAUAGAUGCAUUAUUUGACGUUAGCGACAGAAGAAGCACCGGCUAACUCCGUGCCAGCAGCCGCGGUAAUACGGAGGGUGCGAGCGUUAAUCGGAAUUACUGGGCGUAAAGCGCAUGCAGGUGGUGUGUUAAGUCAGAUGUGAAAGCCCGGGGCUCAACCUCGGAAUAGCAUUUGAAACUGGCAGACUAGAGUACUGUAGAGGGGGGUAGAAUUUCAGGUGUAGCGGUGAAAUGCGUAGAGAUCUGAAGGAAUACCGGUGGCGAAGGCGGCCCCCUGGACAGAUACUGACACUCAGAUGCGAAAGCGUGGGGAGCAAACAGGAUUAGAUACCCUGGUAGUCCACGCCGUAAACGAUGUCUACUUGGAGGUUGUGGCCUUGAGCCGUGGCUUUCGGAGCUAACGCGUUAAGUAGACCGCCUGGGGAGUACGGUCGCAAGAUUAAAACUCAAAUGAAUUGACGGGGGCCCGCACAAGCGGUGGAGCAUGUGGUUUAAUUCGAUGCAACGCGAAGAACCUUACCUACUCUUGACAUCCAGAGAACUUUCCAGAGAUGGAUUGGUGCCUUCGGGAACUCUGAGACAGGUGCUGCAUGGCUGUCGUCAGCUCGUGUUGUGAAAUGUUGGGUUAAGUCCCGCAACGAGCGCAACCCUUAUCCUUGUUUGCCAGCGAGUAAUGUCGGGAACUCCAGGGAGACUGCCGGUGAUAAACCGGAGGAAGGUGGGGACGACGUCAAGUCAUCAUGGCCCUUACGAGUAGGGCUACACACGUGCUACAAUGGCGCAUACAGAGGGCGGCCAACUUGCGAAAGUGAGCGAAUCCCAAAAAGUGCGUCGUAGUCCGGAUUGGAGUCUGCAACUCGACUCCAUGAAGUCGGAAUCGCUAGUAAUCGUGGAUCAGAAUGCCACGGUGAAUACGUUCCCGGGCCUUGUACACACCGCCCGUCACACCAUGGGAGUGGGCUGCAAAAGAAGUGGGUAGUUUAACCUUCGGAGACGCUACACUUUGUGGUCAUGACUGGGUGA
Molecule: ribosomal RNA, 1113 nt
Filed under: Vibrio natriegens
Lineage: Bacteria; Pseudomonadati; Pseudomonadota; Gammaproteobacteria; Vibrionales; Vibrionaceae
Description: bacterial SSU rRNA
Rfam family: Bacterial small subunit ribosomal RNA
Source: RNAcentral